GCCAGACAUGGUGAUGCAUGCCUGUAAUCCCAGCAACUCAGGAGGCUGAGGCAGGAGGAUGCAAGUUCAAAGCCAACCCCAGCAACUUAGCAAGGCCCUAAGCAAGUUAGAAAUACCUUGUCUCAA
RNAcentral lists this small RNA (126 nucleotides) under Marmota monax (woodchuck). Lineage: Eukaryota; Metazoa; Chordata; Mammalia; Rodentia; Sciuridae. The record is from RNAcentral.